Molecule: ribosomal RNA, 493 nt
Filed under: uncultured bacterium
Lineage: Bacteria
Description: partial 16S ribosomal RNA
Rfam family: Bacterial small subunit ribosomal RNA
Source: RNAcentral
AUUGAACGCUGGCGGCAUGCUUUACACAUGCAAGUCGAACGGUAACAGGUUAAGCUGACGAGUGGCGAACGGGUGAGUAAUGCAUCGGAACGUGCCCGGUCGUGGGGGAUAACGCAGCGAAAGCUGCGCUAAUACCGCAUACGAUCUAAGGAUGAAAGCGGGGGACCGUAAGGCCUCGCGCGAUCGGAGCGGCCGAUGUCAGAUUAGGUAGUUGGUGGGGUAAAGGCUCACCAAGCCAACGAUCUGGAGCUGGUCUGAGAGGACGACCAGCCACACUGGGACUGCGACAGGGCCCAGACUCCUGCGGGAGGCAGCAGUGGGGAAUUUUGGACAAUGGGCGAAAGCCUGAUCCAGCAAUGCCGCGUGCAGGAAGAAGGCCUUCGGGUUGUAAACUGCUUUUGUACGGAGCGAAAAGGUCUCCUCUAAUACAGGGGGCUCAUGACGGUACCGUAAGAAUAAGCACCGGCUAACUACGUGCCAGCCGCGGCCGUAA